GACGAACGUUGGCGGCGUGCUUAACACAUGCAAGUCGAACGGAAAGGCCCUGCUUUUGUGGGGUGCUCGAGUGGCGAACGGGUGAGUAACACGUGAGUAACCUGCCCUUGACUUUGGGAUAACUUCAGGAAACUGGGGCUAAUACCGGAUAGGAGCUCCUGCUGCAUGGUGGGGGUUGGAAAGUUUCGGCGGUUGGGGAUGGACUCGCGGCUUAUCAGCUUGUUGGUGGGGUAGUGGCUUACCAAGGCUUUGACGGGUAGCCGGCCUGAGAGGGUGACCGGCCACAUUGGGACUGAGAUACGGCCCAGACUCCUACGGGAGGCAGCAGUGGGGAAUAUUGCACAAUGGGCGGAAGCCUGAUGCAGCAACGCCGCGUGCGGGAUGACGGCCUUCGGGUUGUAAACCGCUUUCGCCUGUGACGAAGCGUGAGUGACGGUAAUGGGUAAAGAAGCACCGGCUAACUACGUGCCAGCAGCCGCGGUGAUACGUAGGGUGCGAGCGUUGUCCGGAUUUAUUGGGCGUAAAGGGCUCGUAGGUGGUUGAUCGCGUCGGAAGUGUAAUCUUGGGGCUUAACCCUGAGCGUGCUUUCGAUACGGGUUGACUUGAGGAAGGUAGGGGAGAAUGGAAUUCCUGGUGGAGCGGUGGAAUGCGCAGAUAUCAGGAGGAACACCAGUGGCGAAGGCGGUUCUCUGGGCCUUUCCUGACGCUGAGGAGCGAAAGCGUGGGGAGCGAACAGGCUUAGAUACCCUGGUAGUCCACGCUGUAAACGGUGGGUACUAGGUGUGGGGUCCAUUCCACGGGUUCCGUGCCGUAGCUAACGCUUUAAGUACCCCGCCUGGGGAGUACGGCCGCAAGGCUAAAACUCAAAGGAAUUGACGGGGCCCCGCACAAGCGGCGGAGCAUGCGGAUUAAUUCGAUGCAACGCGUAGAACCUUACCUGGGUUUGACAUGGAUCGGGAGCGCUCAGAGAUGGGUGUGCCUCUUUUGGGGUCGGUUCACAGGUGGUGCAUGGCUGUCGUCAGCUCGUGUCGUGAGAUGUUGGGUUAAGUCCCGCAACGAGCGCAACCCUUGUUCACUGUUGCCAGCACGUUAUGGUGGGGACUCAGUGGAGACCGCCGGGGUCAACUCGGAGGAAGGUGGGGAUGACGUCAAGUCAUCAUGCCCCUUAUGUCCAGGGCUUCACGCAUGCUACAAUGGCUGGUACAGAGAGUGGCGAGCCUGUGAGGGUGAGCAAAUCUCGGAAAGCCGGUCUCAGUUCGGAUUGGGGUCUGCAACUCGACCUCAUGAAGUCGGAGUCGCUAGUAAUCGCAGAUCAGCAACGCUGCGGUGAAUACGUUCCCGGG
Molecule: ribosomal RNA, 1343 nt
Filed under: uncultured bacterium
Lineage: Bacteria
Description: 16S ribosomal RNA
Rfam family: Bacterial small subunit ribosomal RNA
Source: RNAcentral